AACGGAGAAAAAAUGUCUCCUCCCCUUUUCCUCUCCACGUAUACUCCUCCUAUUCCCUCCCACCUUCUCUCAAUCUCUGUCCCUCCCUCUCUCCUCUACUUCAUUCCUACCCUGCCUGCAUGUAUGCACACUCGCACACACGCGCGCGCGCGCACACAUAGAUACACACACGAUGACUGAUGCCUUCGCCCUCCUUCUCUUGCCUUCUCCGUUUUCUCAGCUCUCUCUGCACCACUGAGACUUUUGUGUGUGUUUGUCCUCUCGGUGCAGCGUAUGGUGGAACCGGUUCUGCGCAGCUUCCAGCACAUGCUAUACCCCAGCCACAAACUGAGCAGCAACAGCAGCAGCAGCAGCUCCAGCUCCAGCUCCUCCUGCCUCUCACUUUCCUGCUUGUGACUUUGAUCUGCUUGCCUUUCCCUCUGGUACUUUUCCUCAAACCGUUGAUUUCCUUUGUCCAUAAGGCACGUUUCCCUUUCAAAGUCCCGAGUGUGGACAGGGCGAGGGAAAGAGAAAUCGUGUCCGCGGAAAGAGGAGAUGAGGCAACAGCGAAUAAAAUGUGACGAGGCUGGAGUGAAAUAGAGAUGCAAGGCUGCAAGUCAAGGGGGAGAGCACUAACUCAAGAGUGAGGAAGAGGGGACAGAGAGAAGGAAUCAAGUUGGAAUCAGGAGAGAAACGCAGGAAAAGCCACCCUCUGCUUCAUGUCUGAGGAACACCUGGCACACUUUGACGAGGGAGUAAUCUCAAGCACUGUGUGUUCGUGACAGCAGCCCUGCGGAGACAAAAGGUGAGGAGCUGUAUAGAUGUCGGUGUUAGUCAGGUAGGUAGGUAGAGAACAGAAUAAUAGAAUCAAUACUAUUGUCUGUAACCUACCUGCCGCUGGGCUCUCUGUCUGGCCCCGGCAUAGACCGACAGAGAGAGAGAGAGAGAGAGAGAGAGAGAGAGAGACAGAGAAAGAGAGAGAGAGCUGAGAGGAACCACAGAAUCACUCUGACCAGGAAAGAAAAGAAAUGAAGAGGCUGACUCUAAGGUGAACUGAUGUCUUCAGUGCCCUCUUUGUCCUGCUCUUCAUCUUUGUCUUCAUAACCAUCGAAAACUAAUUUAAUCUUCAAUGGGAGUUGUGGAGUUUUAAACAGUCAUACUUCAGAAAAUGAUCAAGAACUACAGAUAAGUGUCCCUGUCUGUGCUGCAUAUGCAAAACCAGAAGACCAGUCGGUGCCGCAGAAUCCAAAUGUCAGAUGAGGUCAUGUCUUUGUCUCGGUGCAGCGAAACAACCGCUCUGCGGUUCUUAUUUUUAUAAAUAUAUUUCAUCUCAACCCUGCCUUUUUGUACUUUAACUUGCUCUUUAUUUAAAUCCUCCCUGUGUAUUUUCAGUUCACAGUAUGCCCCUCUGUCCCUGAGACCCUUAACCUGUGAGGUCAAAGCAGGUCACAGGUGAGGUCCUCGGGAACAGGGCUGCAUUCAGUUUCAGCGUCCUACGAAAAAGAAGCAUUUUAUCAAAUACUUUCCCAACUUAAACGUCUGCUUUAAUAUUUGAUAUUUCCUUUUGUAUUCUCAUCAUUCUUCUAAACCAUUUUAAACACGAGAAAAGCCUCAGAUGAUAGAAUGUCACAUUUCCGUCUGGCUCUGGCUAGUAUGCAGCUGUAUGUCCCCAGACUGUUACAGUAUGUUUACCUGUCAUGUCAUGAUCAAGACUUGUCAGGUUGGAUGAGAACGUAAUGAUGAUCCCUCCUCCUGCAGCACAGACAAGUCUCAGGGGGCCAACCCUAUUGGCUGGCUUCGUGUUAUAGCCCUCAAUGGGGGCCAAUAGGAAGACAGCCGAGGGUUGUGACCCCGUCAUAUAUGUCACCUUCAAAAAUCUGUGGAUUUAUUGGUAUGUCAUGUGCGUCAUUGUCCUGAUAAAAUGUCCUGUUUUGUACAUCUGUACCUUAAUAAAAGAUGUCAAAAAAGUA
Long non-coding RNA from Lates calcarifer (barramundi perch), 1949 nucleotides. RefSeq lists it as uncharacterized. NCBI's taxonomy places the organism in Eukaryota, Metazoa, Chordata, Actinopteri, Centropomidae. The record is from RefSeq and is a predicted model, not a curated record. The transcript is spliced from 6 exons.